AUUGAACGCUGGCGGCAUGCCUUACACAUGCAAGUCGAACGGCAGCACGGGGGCAACCCUGGUGGCGAGUGGCGAACGGGUGAGUAAUGCAUCGGAACGUGCCCAGUAGUGGGGGAUAACCCGGCGAAAGCCGGGCUAAUACCGCAUACGACCUACGGGUGAAAGCGGGGGACCGUAAGGCCUCGCGCUAUUGGAGCGGCCGAUGUCUGAUUAGCUAGUUGGCGGGGUAAGAGCCCACCAAGGCUACGAUCAGUAGCUGGUCUGAGAGGACGACCAGCCACACUGGGACUGAGACACGGCCCAGACUCCUACGGGAGGCAGCAGUGGGGAAUUUUGGACAAUGGGCGCAAGCCUGAUCCAGCCAUGCCGCGUGCGGGAAGAAGGCCUUCGGGUUGUAAACCGCUUUUGGCAGGAACGAAACGGCGAUCUCUAAUACGGGUCGCUAAUGACGGUACCUGCAGAAUAAGCACCGGCUAACUACGUGCCAGCAGCCGCGGUAAUACGUAGGGUGCAAGCGUUAAUCGGAAUUACUGGGCGUAAAGCGUACGCAGGCGGCUUUGCAAGACAGGUGUGAAAUCCCCGGGCCUAACCUGGGAACUGCAUUUGUGACUGCAUGGCUAGAGUUUGUCAGAGGGGGGUGGAAUUCCACGUGUAGCAGUGAAAUGCGUAGAGAUGUGGAAGAACACCGAUGGCGAAGCAGCCCCCUGGGAUAUGACUGA
This 719-nucleotide ribosomal RNA is filed under the name uncultured bacterium. RNAcentral describes it as "bacterial SSU rRNA". It matches the Rfam family "Bacterial small subunit ribosomal RNA", at positions 28 to 743 of the family's 1533-position model. The record is from RNAcentral.